GGCGGACGGGUGAGUAAUGCCUAGGAAUCUGCCUGGUAGUGGGGGAUAACGUUUCGAAAGGAACGCUAAUACCGCAUACGUCCUACGGGAGAAAGUGGGGGAUCUUCGGACCUCACGCUAUCAGAUGAGCCUAGGUCGGAUUAGCUAGUUGGUGGGGUAAUGGCCCACCAAGGCGACGAUCCGUAACUGGUCUGAGAGGAUGAUCAGUCACACUGGAACUGAGACACGGUCCAGACUCCUACGGGAGGCAGCAGUGGGGAAUUUUGGACAAUGGGCGCAAGCCUGAUCCAGCAAUGCCGCGUGCAGGAAGAAGGCCUUCGGGUUGUAAACUGCUUUUGUCAGGGAAGAAAUCUUCUGGGCUAAUACCCCGGGAGGAUGACGGUACCUGAAGAAUAAGCACC
Molecule: ribosomal RNA, 401 nt
Filed under: uncultured bacterium
Lineage: Bacteria
Description: bacterial SSU rRNA
Rfam family: Bacterial small subunit ribosomal RNA
Source: RNAcentral